GGGCAUCAAGAAGAACAUGUAAACGUUUAUUUUUGCUUAUUUUAAUAAGUGAAUGUUGCUUUCCUGAAGUCUUACAUGCUGCUUCCUACUGUGCCACAGUGUCUUCUCUGAAAAAGACAUUGAAUCAGAUUUGGUUUGGCUAUGGAUUUGAGGAUAUCUCUAGAGACACGGAGGAGCUCAAGUCCUACUCUCCAAGAAGAAUGCAAGUGGAACUACUAAGGAAGUCAUCUGAAUUGCCCAAAGCUAUGGAGACGGUGGCGUAAAUUAGUUGAGGAAUGGAGCAGAAGCGUGGAUCAGGAUCUGAGAAGAGCUCCACCGUGCCAGUUGCUCCUGGGCUCUGUCCUCCCUGCAGCCCUGUGGAUGUGGUGGAAGGGAAUUCCACUUUGACAGUCCUCAUGAUCUGGAAGUUGUUGCUCCCCGUUGUCCCAAGCCAAACUUGAGAAAAUGGUGAAAAUGAAGAGGAAGAAGGCCAUGCCAUCCGUCUACUGCACUCAGUGCCAUGAAGUGCCAAAUGUGGGUACCAGAAAGGCAUAGAGAGAGCUUUCUUUUCAGCCACUGAAUAUUUAAUGGUGAGUGAAAGUUAAAACAUGCUAAUGUGUUGGUGUAAAAUAUUCAUGGCAGCUGCUUAAGCCUAUUGUGUUCCCCUGUGGUCAUAUA
Molecule: long non-coding RNA, 657 nt
Filed under: Cairina moschata (Muscovy duck)
Lineage: Eukaryota; Metazoa; Chordata; Aves; Anseriformes; Anatidae
Description: domestica (muscovy Duck (domestic type)) lncRNA (ENSCMMG00000012645.1)
Source: RNAcentral